CAGAGCUGUGGUGUUACUGUUACCAGUGAAGAGAAGGGUUAUUUUUGCCUGAUAAUCCUUUACAGGAGUUUUUACUGAAAAUUGUUGUGUCAUCCUGACUGAGACUUAAUGCCAUCGACCCAACAUGAAAUGGUUGGCUCUGGUUGUUGCUGCUCUUUUGUGGAUCUCCCCAAGAGUGAGCAAUGAAAUGUGUAGGAAACUGAGCAAUUGUUUGGAAAGGGGAAACAAAGCGUAUGUUGUUUCUGACAAAUUCAACGACGUCAUCAAAGUUAAACCCAAAUGGGAGACAACGGAACAUGACUGCAUAAUAUUUCUGCAGAAAAACCCUAAAACACAACCUGCAA
Molecule: long non-coding RNA, 344 nt
Organism: Labrus mixtus (cuckoo wrasse)
Lineage: Eukaryota; Metazoa; Chordata; Actinopteri; Labriformes; Labridae
Exons: 3
Source: RefSeq, a predicted model, not a curated record